UACGUAGGUCGCGAACGUUAUUCGGAUUUACUGGGCUUAAAGGGCGUGUAGGCGGCAGCGUAAGUCAAGGUUGAAAUCCGGCGGCUCACCCGUCGAAGUGGCCUUGAUACUGCGUUGCUUGAGUCAUGGAGGGGUGCGCGGAACUUGUGGUGGAGCGGUGAAAUGCUCAGAUAUCACAGGGAACACCGGAGGCGAAGGCGGCGCACUGGCCAUGUACUGACGCUGUAGCGCGAAAGCCAGGGGAGCGAAC
RNAcentral lists this ribosomal RNA (250 nucleotides) under uncultured bacterium. RNAcentral's name for it is "partial 16S ribosomal RNA". It matches the Rfam family "Bacterial small subunit ribosomal RNA", at positions 524 to 773 of the family's 1533-position model. The record is from RNAcentral.